This 225-nucleotide ribosomal RNA is filed under the name uncultured bacterium. Its description in RNAcentral is "partial 16S ribosomal RNA". It matches the Rfam family "Bacterial small subunit ribosomal RNA", at positions 57 to 305 of the family's 1533-position model. The record is from RNAcentral.
GCAAGUCGAACGAGAAGUUACCUUCGGGGUGAGCGGCGGACGGGUGAGUAACGCGUGGGAAUAUGCCCUUCUCUAAGGAAUAGCCUCUGGAAACGGAGAGUAAUACCUUAUACGCCCUUUGGGGGAAAGAUUUAUCGGAGAAGGAUUAGCCCGCGUUAGAUUAGGUAGUUGGUGGGGUAAUGGCCUACCAAGCCUACGAUCUAUAGCUGGUUUGAGAGGAUGAUC